CUUUCGUUGAUGUUUACGCCGUUCUCGCAUUAGUCUUGAAGUGGCUCUCGAAACAAGCCAACACUCGCUUACGGCCACACCACCCUGAGCACGCCCGCUCUCGUCUGAUCUCGGAAGCCAAGCAGGGUCGGGCCUGGUUAGUACUUGGAUGGGAGACCGCCUGGGAAUACCAGGUGCUGUAAGCAUUUAUUUUUGAUUUAAUUUUUUAAAAAUGCACCUUGUCUGUAAG
Molecule: ribosomal RNA, 229 nt
Filed under: Misgurnus fossilis
Lineage: Eukaryota; Metazoa; Chordata; Actinopteri; Cypriniformes; Cobitidae
Source: RNAcentral